AGAGUUUGAUCCUGGCUCAGAUUGAACGCUGGCGGCAGGCCUAACACAUGCAAGUCGAGCGGUAGCACAGAGAGCUUGCUCUCGGGUGACGAGCGGCGGACGGGUGAGUAAUGUCUGGGAAACUGCCUGAUGGAGGGGGAUAACUACUGGAAACGGUAGCUAAUACCGCAUAACGUCGCAAGACCAAAGUGGGGGACCUUCGGGCCUCAUGCCAUCAGAUGUGCCCAGAUGGGAUUAGCUGGUAGGUGGGGUAACGGCUCACCUAGGCGACGAUCCCUAGCUGGUCUGAGAGGAUGACCAGCCACACUGGAACUGAGACACGGUCCAGACUCCUACGGGAGGCAGCAGUGGGGAAUAUUGCACAAUGGGCGCAAGCCUGAUGCAGCCAUGCCGCGUGUGUGAAGAAGGCCUUCGGGUUGUAAAGCACUUUCAGCGGGGAGGAAGGCGGUGAGGUUAAUAACCUCACCGAUUGACGUUACCCGCAGAAGAAGCACCGGCUAACUCCGUGCCAGCAGCCGCGGUAAUACGGAGGGUGCAAGCGUUAAUCGGAAUUACUGGGCGUAAAGCGCACGCAGGCGGUCUGUCAAGUCGGAUGUGAAAUCCCCGGGCUCAACCUGGGAACUGCAUUCGAAACUGGCAGGCUAGAGUCUUGUAGAGGGGGGUAGAAUUCCAGGUGUAGCGGUGAAAUGCGUAGAGAUCUGGAGGAAUACCGGUGGCGAAGGCGGCCCCCUGGACAAAGACUGACGCUCAGGUGCGAAAGCGUGGGGAGCAAACAGGAUUAGAUACCCUGGUAGUCCACGCUGUAAACGAUGUCGAUUUGGAGGUUGUGCCCUUGAGGCGUGGCUUCCGGAGCUAACGCGUUAAAUCGACCGCCUGGGGAGUACGGCCGCAAGGUUAAAACUCAAAUGAAUUGACGGGGGCCCGCACAAGCGGUGGAGCAUGUGGUUUAAUUCGAUGCAACGCGAAGAACCUUACCUGGUCUUGACAUCCACAGAACUUUCCAGAGAUGGAUUGGUGCCUUCGGGAACUGUGAGACAGGUGCUGCAUGGCUGUCGUCAGCUCGUGUUGUGAAAUGUUGGGUUAAGUCCCGCAACGAGCGCAACCCUUAUCCUUUGUUGCCAGCGGUCCGGCCGGGAACUCAAAGGAGACUGCCAGUGAUAAACUGGAGGAAGGUGGGGAUGACGUCAAGUCAUCAUGGCCCUUACGACCAGGGCUACACACGUGCUACAAUGGCAUAUACAAAGAGAAGCGACCUCGCGAGAGCAAGCGGACCUCAUAAAGUAUGUCGUAGUCCGGAUUGGAGUCUGCAACUCGACUCCAUGAAGUCGGAAUCGCUAGUAAUCGUAGAUCAGAAUGCUACGGUGAAUACGUUCCCGGGCCUUGUACACACCGCCCGUCACACCAUGGGAGUGGGUUGCAAAAGAAGUAGGUAGCUUAACCUUCGGGAGGGCGCUUACCACUUUGUGAUUCAUGACUGGGGUGAAGUCGUAACAAGGUAACC
Molecule: ribosomal RNA, 1501 nt
Filed under: uncultured Klebsiella sp.
Lineage: Bacteria; Pseudomonadati; Pseudomonadota; Gammaproteobacteria; Enterobacterales; Enterobacteriaceae
Description: bacterial SSU rRNA
Rfam family: Bacterial small subunit ribosomal RNA
Source: RNAcentral